UACGUAGGGAGCGAGCGUUGUCCGGAUUUACUGGGUGUAAAGGGCGUGUAGGCGGAGCUGCAAGUCAGAAGUGAAAUCCCCGGGCUCAACCCGGGAACUGCUUUUGAAACUGUAGCCCUUGAGUAUCGGAGAGGCAGGCGGAAUUCCUAGUGUAGCGGUGAAAUGCGUAGAUAUUAGGAGGAACACCAGUGGCGAAGGCGGCCUGCUGGACGACAACUGACGCUGAGGCGCGAAAGCGUGGGGAGCAAACAGG
RNAcentral lists this ribosomal RNA (253 nucleotides) under uncultured bacterium. RNAcentral's name for it is "partial 16S ribosomal RNA". It matches the Rfam family "Bacterial small subunit ribosomal RNA", at positions 524 to 776 of the family's 1533-position model. The record is from RNAcentral.